UGAGGAAUAUUGGACAAUGGGUGAGAGCCUGAUCCAGCCAUCCCNCGAGAAGGACGACGUCCCUAUGGGUUGUAAACUUCUUGGAUACAGGGAUAAACCUUUCCACGUGAGGAAAGCUGAAGGUACUGUAAGAAUAAGCACCGGCUAACUCCCUGCCAGCACCCGCGGUAAUACGGAGGGAGCAAGCGUUAUCCGGAUUUAUUGGGUUUAAAGGGUCCGUAGGCGGAUCCGUAAGUCAGUGGUGAAAUCUCAUAGCUCAACUAUGAACCUGCCAUUGAUACUGCGGGUCUUGAGUAAGGUAGAAGUAGCUGGAAUAAGUAGUGUAGCGGUGAAAUGCAUAGAUAUUACUUAGACCACCAAUUGCGAAGNCAGGUUAUCUAUGUCUUAACUGACGCUGAUGGACGAAAGCGUGGGGAGCGAACAGGAUUAGNUACCCUGGUNGUCCACGCCGUAAACGAUGCUAACUCGUUUUUGGGCUUUCGGGCUCAGAGACUCAGCGAAACGGAAAAGCAAGCCACCUGGGAGACGACGCAAGU
Molecule: ribosomal RNA, 536 nt
Filed under: uncultured Chryseobacterium sp.
Lineage: Bacteria; Pseudomonadati; Bacteroidota; Flavobacteriia; Flavobacteriales; Weeksellaceae
Description: bacterial SSU rRNA
Rfam family: Bacterial small subunit ribosomal RNA
Source: RNAcentral